AAACAAGAUACUGUGUGAUUUUCGUAUUUUUAUUUCACCUGUUUAUUUCACUUACUGAAAUAUUUACCAUUAUCAAACAGGAACUAUUUUCGUGCAAAAAACCUGCAACUUACAGUUCACUCUCUAGCCUUUUUCUCUUGCAAAUGUUGAUUGCCGUCUGUCGCACCAGGUUACCAAGACAACGCCUGCUCACCACCAUUCCGUUUACCAGGGGAAUUGCCAUGCUGGAAGCCACAUGACCGGUCCAGCCUGCAUGUUUUCCAAUGUCUACAGGCCAGCCAAGGGAGUGUAGAAACUGUAGGAACUGGGGCUGUACACUCUUACGAGAGGACUGUAGGGAUAAAGGUCAAAUAGAAUGGGGACCAUGUCCAGUUGUUCUACCUCUGAAAACAGCCCCUGUUACUUGUGAUUAACAUCACUUGCCUGGAGGGACAUUCAGCUCAUGGAGUUGCAUGAUUAAACAUGUAUAUUA
Molecule: long non-coding RNA, 472 nt
Organism: Mya arenaria
Lineage: Eukaryota; Metazoa; Mollusca; Bivalvia; Myida; Myidae
Exons: 3
Source: RefSeq, a predicted model, not a curated record